CAAGGCACAAAUCUAGGCCCAUCAUUAUACAAUAUCUACACCAAUGACAUAGUAAAUGCAAUAACAGAAGGAGAAAUAGUGAUGUACGCAGACGAUACAGCAAUAACAAUAACAGCAAAAACACAAACCGAACUAAAAGAAAAAGCACAGACAGCAAUAAAACAAUACAUGGAAUGGUGCGACACAAAUAAAAUGAUACCCAACCUAAGCAAAACCAACUACAUCAUAUACGCGAUAAGAAAGGAAAACAUAGAAGACAUAAACAUAGUAUACAAUCAACCAAUAAAUCGCGAACACACAGUAACAUACCUGUGUAUUGAAAUAGACAAUAAACUAAACUGGAUAGAACAAACAGAGAAAACAUCGAAAAAACUAAACCAACUUUGCUAUAUAAUAAACUACCUUAAGAAAACGUUCAAUCAAAAUUCACUCCUGGCAUACUAUUACGCAUUUGGAGAAAGCCACCUGAGAUAUGGAAUAAUUAUUUGGGGAAACACGACAGAACACAGAAGACUUUUCAUCAUACAAAAACGGAUCAUACGCAAAAUAUUCAACAUCCAACCAAGACAAACAUGCAAAGAUACGUUCCAAAAAAAACAAAUACUGACAUAUUAUGCAUUAUACUAUAUAGAAGCUGUUGCCAACAUACACAAUCACAAAAACACACUUACACCCAACAGUGAAAUACACACAUAUAGCACAAGACAGGCACACCACAUCAGGCAGCCAAGAACAAAAACAACAUACGCACAAAAAUCAGCCCAAUACAUGGGAAUCAAAUUCUACAACAAACUGCCUGACCAGUUAAAACCACUAGAAACAAAACUACUGAAACAAAAACUAAAAGACAAACUGACAUCGAAGGCACCGUACACUUUUGACGACCUCGACAAAAUAUGGGACGAAAAGUAGAGCCUACGAUACCCAGCACCUAUAUACAUAUAUUAACUCCCUCGCUCACAUCUUGACCGCUUGCAUUUAAAUAGCAUUAUACUUAAUUAUUUUCAGCCCCUGUUAUAUUUACUUUAUUUGUUCACUUCUUAUGUACCUAUACCUGUACCUAUUUGGACCAUGUACAUUAUUGUAUCUACAAAGUUCAAUAAAUAUAUUCAAUUCAAUGAUUGUCAGUCAUUGAUCGAUUAGAA
This 1145-nucleotide long non-coding RNA is filed under the name Olea europaea subsp. europaea. Lineage: Eukaryota; Viridiplantae; Streptophyta; Magnoliopsida; Lamiales; Oleaceae. The record is from RNAcentral.